GCAUAUCAAUAAGCGGAGGAAAAGAAACCAACAGGGAUUGCCUUAGUAACGGCGAGUGAAGCGGCAAAAGCUCAAAUUUGAAAUCUGGCACCUUCGGUGUCCGAGUUGUAAUUUGAAGAAGGUAACUUUGGAGUUGGCUCUUGUCUAUGUUCCUUGGAACAGGACGUCACAGAGGGUGAGAAUCCCGUGCGAUGAGAUGCCCAAUUCUAUGUAAAGUGCUUUCGAAGAGUCGAGUUGUUUGGGAAUGCAGCUCUAAGUGGGUGGUAAAUUCCAUCUAAAGCUAAAUAUUGGCGAGAGACCGAUAGCGAACAAGUACAGUGAUGGAAAGAUGAAAAGAACUUUGAAAAGAGAGUGAAAAAGUACGUGAAAUUGUUGAAAGGGAAGGGCUUGAGAUCAGACUUGGUAUUUUGCGAUCCUUUCCUUCUUGGUUGGGUUCCUCGCAGCUUACUGGGCCAGCAUCGGUUUGGAUGGUAGGAUAAUGACUAAGGAAUGUGGCUCUACUUCGGUGGAGUGUUAUAGCCUUGGUUGAUACUGCCUGUCUAGACCGAGG
RNAcentral lists this ribosomal RNA (550 nucleotides) under Debaryomyces hansenii. RNAcentral's name for it is "partial large subunit ribosomal RNA". It matches the Rfam family "Eukaryotic large subunit ribosomal RNA", at positions 38 to 593 of the family's 3401-position model. Lineage: Eukaryota; Fungi; Ascomycota; Pichiomycetes; Serinales; Debaryomycetaceae. The record is from RNAcentral.